AGUGAACGCUGGCGGCAGGCCUAAUACAUGCAAGUCGAACGGCAGCACAGCAGAGCUUGCUCUGUGGGUGGCGAGUGGCGGACGGGUGAGGAGUACAUGGGAAUCUGCCCAGUCGUGGGGGAUAACGUAUGGAAACGUACGCUAAUACCGCAUGCGCCCUAAGGGGGAAAGCCGGGGACCGCAAGGCCUGGCGCGAUUGGAUGAGCCCAUGUUCGAUUAGCUAGUUGGCGGGGUAAAGGCCCACCAAGGCGACGAUCGAUAGCUGGUCUGAGAGGAUGAUCAGCCACACUGGAACUGAGACACGGUCCAGACUCCUACGGGAGGCAGCAGUAGGGAAUAUCGGACAAUGGGGGCAACCCUGAUCCAGCCAUGCCGCGUGAGUGAAGAAGGCCCUCGGGUUGUAAAGCUCUUUUGUCCGGAAAGAAAAGCAUCUGGUUAAUACCCGGGUGUUCUGACGGUACCGGAAGAAUAAGCACCGGCUAACUUCGUGCC
RNAcentral lists this ribosomal RNA (492 nucleotides) under uncultured bacterium. RNAcentral's name for it is "bacterial SSU rRNA". It matches the Rfam family "Bacterial small subunit ribosomal RNA", at positions 29 to 509 of the family's 1533-position model. The record is from RNAcentral.